AUUGAACGCUGGCGGCAGGCCUAACACAUGCAAGUCGAACGGUAACAGGAAGCAGCUUGCUGCUUUGCCGACGCGUGGCGGACGGGUGAGUCAUGUCUGUGAAACUGCCCGAUGGAGGGGGAUAACUACUGGAAACGGUAGCUAAUACCGCAUAACGUCGCAAGCCCAAAGAGGGGGACCUUAGGGCCUCUUGCCAUUCGAUUUGCCCAGAUGGGAUUAGCUAGUAGGUGGGGUAACGGCUCACCUAGGCGACGAUCCCUAGCUGGUCUGAGAGGAUGACCAGCCACACUGGAACUGAGACACGGUCCAGACUCCUACGGGAGGCAGCAGUGGGGAAUAUUGCACAAUGGGCGCAAGCCUGAUGCAGCCAUGCCGCGUGCAUGAAGAAGGCCUUCGGGUUGUAAAGUACUUUCAGCGGGGAGGAAGGGAGUAAAGUUAAUACCUUUGCUCAUUGACGUUACCCGCAGAAGAAGCACCGGCUAACUCCGUG
This 490-nucleotide ribosomal RNA is filed under the name uncultured bacterium. Its description in RNAcentral is "partial 16S ribosomal RNA". It matches the Rfam family "Bacterial small subunit ribosomal RNA", at positions 30 to 507 of the family's 1533-position model. The record is from RNAcentral.